This 512-nucleotide ribosomal RNA is filed under the name uncultured Methanosarcina sp. RNAcentral describes it as "bacterial SSU rRNA". It matches the Rfam family "Archaeal small subunit ribosomal RNA", at positions 347 to 859 of the family's 1478-position model. Lineage: Archaea; Methanobacteriati; Methanobacteriota; Methanomicrobia; Methanosarcinales; Methanosarcinaceae. The record is from RNAcentral.
ACUUUACAAUGCGGGAAACCGUGAUAAGGGGACACCGAGUGCCAGCAUCAUAUGCUGGCUGUCCGGGUGUGUAAAAUACACCUGUUAGCAAGGGCCGGGCAAGACCGGUGCCAGCCGCCGCGGUAACACCGGCGGCCCGAGUGGUGAUCGUGAUUAUUGGGUCUAAAGGGUCCGUAGCCGGUUUGGUCAGUCCUCCGGGAAAUCUGAUGGCUCAACCAUUAGGCUUUCGGGGGAUACUGCCAGGCUUGGAACCGGGAGAGGUAAGAGGUACUACAGGGGUAGGAGUGAAAUCUUGUAAUCCCUGUGGGACCACCUGUGGCGAAGGCGUCUUACCAGAACGGGUUCGACGGUGAGGGACGAAAGCUGGGGGCAUGAACCGGAUUAGAUACCCGGGUAGUCCCAGCCGUAAACGAUGCUCGCUAGGUGUCAGACAUGGCGCGACCGUGUCAGGUGCCGCAGGGAAGCCGUGAAGCGAGCCACCUGGGAAGUACGGCCGCAAGGCUGAAACUUAA